This is a non-coding RNA of Candidatus Buchananbacteria bacterium, 74 nucleotides long. The record is from Rfam. Lineage: Bacteria; Candidatus Buchananiibacteriota.
CGGGGAUUAGCGUAAUUGGCUAUCGCGCACGCUUCGGGUGCGUGAGAUUCCGGGUUCGAGUCCCGGAUCCCCGA